Molecule: ribosomal RNA, 468 nt
Filed under: uncultured bacterium
Lineage: Bacteria
Description: partial 16S ribosomal RNA
Rfam family: Bacterial small subunit ribosomal RNA
Source: RNAcentral
GACGAACGCUGGCGGCGCGCCUAACACAUGCAAGUCGAACGGAGCUGAGAGAAGCUUGCUUUUCUUAGCUUAGUGGCGAACGGGUGAGUAACGCGUGAGUAACCUGCCCUGGAGUGGGGGACAACAGUUGGAAACGACUGCUAAUACCGCAUAAGCCCACGAUCCGGCAUCGGAUUGAGGGAAAAGGAUUUAUUCGCUUCAGGAUGGACUCGCGUCCAAUUAGCUAGUUGGUGAGGUAACGGCCCACCAAGGCGACGAUUGGUAGCCGGACUGAGAGGUUGAACGGGCACAUUGGGACCGAGACACGGGCCAGACUCCCACGGGAGGGAGCAGUGGGGGAUAUUGCACAAUGGGGGAAACCCUGAUGCAGCGACGCCGCGUGGAGGAAGAAGGUUUUCGGAUUGUAAACUCCUGUCGUUAGGGACGAUAAUGACGGUACCUAACAAGAAAGCACCGGCUAACUACGUG